ACCGAACCGAACCGAAAUAACCGAUAACCGAAAAUCCCAUAAAUUGUAAACCGAACCGAACCGUUUAUUGGAGAAAAACCGAACCUAACCGAACCAAUUAUUAUCGGUUCGGUUCGGUUCGGUUAAUGAAAAACCGAAAUUUCAAUUUUUUUUCAAAUGCCAAAUAGACCUGCUUGACCUGUAAAUUGCAAUUUUUUUUCAAAUGCCAAACAGACCUGCUUGACCUGUAAAUUGCAAUUUUUUUUCAAAUGCCAAAC
Molecule: unclassified non-coding RNA, 257 nt
Filed under: Hevea brasiliensis (rubber tree)
Lineage: Eukaryota; Viridiplantae; Streptophyta; Magnoliopsida; Malpighiales; Euphorbiaceae
Source: RNAcentral